AACUAUUUAUCAUCUUCCCUACUUUUCUUCUUCUCCUUUCAACCCUAGCGGCCGUUCAACAUUGUCGUCCAUUUUCUGCCAUCGAGCAGCGUCGUCCAACCAUCAGUUGUGCUCGUCAUUCUACGACCAUGCUCUAACGAAGCCCAUCUAAACCCAAUCUCCAUCGUAGAUGAAACGCGUUCAAAAUCGUUAAACCCGUUUCGAGUCGUCUCUGUCUUCGUCUCCGUUAAAGUCCAAAUGUCCACUGAUCUCCUCUCCAUCAACUUCUAUUCCAAUCGGAGAGCACAUCGUGGGUCUAGCCGUGCUCGUCUGUUCGUGUGCGAGUCGUUCUCCUCCAUCCAAGCUUGGUCGUAAGCUGUUGAGUCGAGUUCAACAUAGACCGAGUCAUGCGCUCUUCUCAAGUCGAUCUUCCUAGACCUGAGUAAAUUUUCCAUAUCUAAGUCGAGCCACUAUCUUUCUAAGCCAUUUUCUUUUAAGCCAUACUUGAGUGUUUUUCCUUGGUGAGUUUUAAUUGGGGUCAGGUAUACCCAUUAAAUAAUAAAAGAUUGGUCUAAAAUAAAUUUACUUUGUAUUAAAGUUGGAUUUUUCCUUGAAGCUGACAUUGGGGAAAGAGCGCUCAAAUUCCUAGAGUUUUCCACAAGUUCGGUUGGGAUUUAAUUCUAUAUUACUUGGUACAUACGUCGGAAAUAUGUUCCAAACGUCACAUCAGGAAUGGUUAUUACUGACGCAUGGAUGAUGUUAAUAUACAAACUCGGGAGUCAUUAUUUCCAACACAUAGCGGACGUCGAAACUGUGGACGUCGGGGAUGACUUGUUGCCGACGCAUUGAAGACGUUGGUAAAGGUGAUAUCUAGAGAAGAUUAUUCCCGAUGCCUUGUUGGUGAUGCAUCGAGAAUUUGUCUUCUAACGUGUUUCUUCUAAUGAUCGUACCGACAUCACUUUCUGCAUCGAGAAUUCAGUUUCCAAUGUCUUUACCACUUUCACCGAUGUAUUUAUGCGUCGGGAGUCCCUCCCACUUUUUGUAGUGUUAGACUGGUAGGUGCAUCCUUCGAGAUCACUAGACUGAUAUGUGCAUCCUUCUAGAUCCCUAGACUGAUUUGUGCAUCCUUCAGAAUCACUAGACUGAUUAUGUGCAUCCAACGGGAUCACUAGACUAAUUGACAUGUAUCCUACGGGAUCACAAGACUGUUAUGAUGCAAGACACCUAAUAAGAACCUAGCAGUUUUACCCCUAGCGGGACAAGUAGUGGGUCUCUUACUGGGUAUAUUUUUAUACUCACCCUUUUCAUGUUUACUUUUUGAAGUAAAGGUAAUACGAGAGGUAGAUCAGGGAGGGACAAGAAGGACUCGUGAACAUCAUAUGGGAAUCUUUAAAAAUGCUUCCACAUAACAUUUUGAUUGUUUUUAAGUUUUGAUGAUUGAAAUGAGUUUCAUCUUU
This is a long non-coding RNA of Cucumis melo (muskmelon), 1436 nucleotides long. RefSeq lists it as uncharacterized. Lineage: Eukaryota; Viridiplantae; Streptophyta; Magnoliopsida; Cucurbitales; Cucurbitaceae. The transcript is spliced from 2 exons. The record is from RefSeq and is a predicted model, not a curated record.